This 700-nucleotide ribosomal RNA is filed under the name Bacillus inaquosorum. RNAcentral describes it as "bacterial SSU rRNA". It matches the Rfam family "Bacterial small subunit ribosomal RNA", at positions 81 to 766 of the family's 1533-position model. The record is from RNAcentral. Lineage: Bacteria; Bacillati; Bacillota; Bacilli; Caryophanales; Bacillaceae.
GCUCCCUGAUGUUAGCGGCGGACGGGUGAGUAACACGUGGGUAACCUGCCUGUAAGACUGGGAUAACUCCGGGAAACCGGGGCUAAUACCGGAUGGUUGUUUGAACCGCAUGGUUCAAAUAUAAAAGGUGGCUUCGGCUACCACUUACAGAUGGACCCGCGGCGCAUUAGCUAGUUGGUGAGGUAACGGCUCACCAAGGCAACGAUGCGUAGCCGACCUGAGAGGGUGAUCGGCCACACUGGGACUGAGACACGGCCCAGACUCCUACGGGAGGCAGCAGUAGGGAAUCUUCCGCAAUGGACGAAAGUCUGACGGAGCAACGCCGCGUGAGUGAUGAAGGUUUUCGGAUCGUAAAGCUCUGUUGUUAGGGAAGAACAAGUACCGUUCGAAUAGGGCGGUACCUUGACGGUACCUAACCAGAAAGCCACGGCUAACUACGUGCCAGCAGCCGCGGUAAUACGUAGGUGGCAAGCGUUGUCCGGAAUUAUUGGGCGUAAAGGGCUCGCAGGCGGUUUCUUAAGUCUGAUGUGAAAGCCCCCGGCUCAACCGGGGAGGGUCAUUGGAAACUGGGGAACUUGAGUGCAGAAGAGGAGAGUGGAAUUCCACGUGUAGCGGUGAAAUGCGUAGAGAUGUGGAGGAACACCAGUGGCGAAGGCGACUCUCUGGUCUGUAACUGACGCUGAGGAGCGAAAGCGUGGGG